UACGUAGGAGGCGAGCGUUGUCCGGAAUUAUUGGGCGUAAAGAGCUCGUAGGCGGCUUGUCACGUCGGGUGUGAAAGCCCGGGGCUUAACCCCGGGUCUGCAUUCGAUACGGGCAGGCUAGAGUGUGGUAGGGGAGAUCGGAAUUCCUGGUGUAGCGGUGAAAUGCGUAGAUAUCUGGAGGAAUACCGGUGGCGAAGGCGGCAUCCUGGACCGGCAUUGACGCUGAGUGAGCGAAAGCCAGGGGAGCAAACGGG
This 254-nucleotide ribosomal RNA is filed under the name uncultured bacterium. Its description in RNAcentral is "partial 16S ribosomal RNA". It matches the Rfam family "Bacterial small subunit ribosomal RNA", at positions 524 to 776 of the family's 1533-position model. The record is from RNAcentral.